CCUGGUGUAUAAUUCUUUUUUAUAUAUCACUCUUUUUACAGGUAUUAAAGCAGCUGUAAUUUGAUUAUAUUUCAUCAACAUAACAUUGUAUUACCUAUACAUACAAGGUGUGUUACACAGUUUAUUGGCUGAACAGGUUAUAGCAUAACAGCAUUAGAUGAGCUUGACUCCAUCUUUUGAACACUGGACAAUAAUAAUCAUAAUCAUCAUUGAGUAGAACUAGGUGUUCUCCUUGUAUUAGAUUUAGGAUUAUUAUUUGCAGGUCUAUAAUCUUUUUAACACUAUAUGAAUCUGAAGUUUUUUCAUAAUCAACAUUGAGUAGAACUAGGUCUUCUCCUUGUAUUAGAUUUAGGAUUACUAUUAGCAGGUCUAUAAUCUUUUGAACACUAUAUGAAUC
RNAcentral lists this long non-coding RNA (397 nucleotides) under Mytilus galloprovincialis (Mediterranean mussel). Lineage: Eukaryota; Metazoa; Mollusca; Bivalvia; Mytilida; Mytilidae. The record is from RNAcentral.